GUACCAAAGCGUCUAGAGACAGGAAUGGAUCCAAUUAGUUAUGUGGGUGGUUUUAUAUCUGUAAUACGCAUGCACAUUACUCCCUCAUGAACAAAAAUCACAAAAUGGCUGCCACCAACUGAGUGUUUUUCAUAUUUCUAGUGCUGUCUUCGUGGUUCCAGGCCAUUUUGCUAGUUGUUUGCAUGAGUUGGAUCACUGAUUAGACUAAUAGAACCUUGCACUAGAAUGUAUCUUCUAAUUAUUCUUGUGUGAGGAAAUGGGCUUUUUAGUCUUUCCUGGGUUAUCAUUUGUUCCUUCCACCACAAUUACUCAUUUCAGAACUGCAUUUUAUACCUUGCCAGCGAAUUGGAUCACAAGAGGUUGCUCAUGAGUUUUUGCUUACAUGUGUAGUAGGAGACUAGGAGCUCAAAAUGUCACAAAAAGCUAUCAGUAUUGUUCAUGGUGGUGGACGAAACUCUGGAUGCUAUAUUUGGAGAUAUAACAUUUCCCCAAGACUAGAUAUAUUAUCAACUCUUUAAUUCCCUUGGCACUACUUAAUGUGACACCAGUAUAUUUCCAGAAUGACAUUCCUGUCAAAUUAUUUUUAGAGAUGAAAAUAGGCUACAAAACUCAACAGAGUAACCUGAAAUCAAAUGUGUGGCUAAACAAGCAUUUAUUCAUGUUUGAACUGUUUUUUUACAUUUUUGUUUGAGUUAUGAACAUGAUAAAUUGAAGUA
Molecule: long non-coding RNA, 716 nt
Organism: Amphimedon queenslandica
Lineage: Eukaryota; Metazoa; Porifera; Demospongiae; Haplosclerida; Niphatidae
Exons: 7
Source: RefSeq, a predicted model, not a curated record